Molecule: ribosomal RNA, 421 nt
Filed under: uncultured bacterium
Lineage: Bacteria
Description: bacterial SSU rRNA
Rfam family: Bacterial small subunit ribosomal RNA
Source: RNAcentral
UAAGGAAUAUUGGUCAAUGGACGCAAGUCUGAACCAGCCAUGCCGCGUGAAGGAUGGAGGUCCUCUGGAUUGUAAACUUCUUUUAUCUGGGACGAAAACGGGAUUUUUAUCUCAAUUGACGGUACCAGAGGAAUAAGCACCGGCUAACUCCGUGCCAGCAGCCGCGGUAAUACGGAGGGUGCAAGCGUUAUCCGGAUUCACUGGGUUUAAAGGGUGCGUAGGUGGGUAUGUAAGUCAGUGGUGAAAUCCCCGAGCUUAACUUGGGAAAUGCCAUUGAUACUAUAUAUCUUGAAUACCGUAGAGGUAAGCGGAAUAUGUCAUGUAGCGGUGAAAUGCUUAGAUAUGACAUGGAACACCAAUUGCGAAGGCAGCUUACUAUGCGGUGAUUGACACUGAGGCACGAAAGCGUGGGUAGCAAACA